Molecule: microRNA precursor, 169 nt
Filed under: Medicago truncatula (barrel medic)
Lineage: Eukaryota; Viridiplantae; Streptophyta; Magnoliopsida; Fabales; Fabaceae
Description: MIR2619 microRNA precursor family
Rfam family: MIR2619 microRNA precursor family
Source: Rfam by way of RNAcentral
AAACCGCCCCUUAAGUUUUGCAACUGUAGCAGUUUUGGCCCUCCAAAACCAAAAAAAAUAAAAAAAUAACACGUGACACCUCACUUAAGGUGUCACGUCAGUGUAGACGAAGUCAAAAUUGAUCUUGAGGGUCAAAACUGCCACAAAUGCAAAACUUAUGGAGCGGUUU